Molecule: ribosomal RNA, 497 nt
Filed under: uncultured bacterium
Lineage: Bacteria
Description: partial 16S ribosomal RNA
Rfam family: Bacterial small subunit ribosomal RNA
Source: RNAcentral
GAUGAACGCUGGCGGCGUGCCUAAUACAUGCAAGUCGAGCGAACAGACGAGGAGCUUGCUCCUCUGACGUUAGCGGCGGACGGGUGAGUAACACGUGGAUAACCUACCUAUAAGACUGGGAUAACUUCGGGAAACCGGAGCUAAUACCGGAUAAUAUAUUGAACCGCAUGGUUCAAUAGUGAAAGACGGUUUUGCUGUCACUUAUAGAUGGAUCCGCGCCGCAUUAGCUAGUUGGUAAGGUAACGGCUUACCAAGGCAACGAUGCGUAGCCGACCUGAGAGGGUGAUCGGCCCCACUGGAACUGAGACACGGUCCAGACUCCUAAGGGAGGCAGCAGUAGGGAAUCUUCCGCAAUGGGCGAAAGCCUGACGGAGCAACGCCGCGUGAGUGAUGAAGGUCUUCGGAUCGUAAAACUCUGUUAUUAGGGAAGAACAAAUGUGUAAGUAACUAUGCACGUCUUGACGGUACCUAAUCAGAAAGCCACGGCUAACUACGUG